GACGAACGCUGGCGGCGUGCUUAACACAUGCAAGUCGAACGGAAAGGCCCUGCUUUUGUGGGGUGCUCGAGUGGCGAACGGGUGAGUAACACGUGAGUAACCUGCCCUUGACUUUGGGAUAACUUCAGGAAACUGGGGCUAAUACCGGAUAGGAGCUCCUGCUGCAUGGUGGGGGUUGGAAAGUUUCGGCGGUUGGGGAUGGACUCGCGGCUUAUCAGCUUGUUGGUGGGGUAGUGGCUUACCAAGGCUUUGACGGGUAGCCGGCCUGAGAGGGUGACCGGCCACAUUGGGACUGAGAUACGGCCCAGACUCCUACGGGAGGCAGCAGUGGGGAAUAUUGCACAAUGGGCGGAAGCCUGAUGCAGCAACGCUGCGUGCGGGAUGAAGGCCUUCGGGUUGUAAACCGCUUUCGCCUGUGACGAAGCGUGAGUGACGGUAAUGGGUAAAGAAGCACCGGCUAACUACGUG
RNAcentral lists this ribosomal RNA (468 nucleotides) under uncultured bacterium. RNAcentral describes it as "partial 16S ribosomal RNA". It matches the Rfam family "Bacterial small subunit ribosomal RNA", at positions 28 to 507 of the family's 1533-position model. The record is from RNAcentral.